RNAcentral lists this ribosomal RNA (460 nucleotides) under uncultured bacterium. RNAcentral's name for it is "partial 16S ribosomal RNA". It matches the Rfam family "Bacterial small subunit ribosomal RNA", at positions 338 to 795 of the family's 1533-position model. The record is from RNAcentral.
CCUACGGGAGGCAGCAGUGAGGAAUAUUGGUCAAUGGACGAGAGUCUGAACCAGCCAAGUAGCGUGAAGGAUGACUGCCCUAUGGGUUGUACACUUCUUUUAUAAAGGAAUAAAACGAGGCACGUGUGCCUUUUUGCAUGUACUUUAUGAAUAAGGAUCGGCUAAAUCCGUGCCAGCAGCCGCGGUAAUACGGAGGAUCCGAGCGUUAACCGGAUUUAUUGGGUUUAAAGGGAGCGUAGAUGGGUUGUUACGGCAGUUGUGAAAGUUUGCGGCUCAACCGUAAAAUUGCAAUUGAUACUGGCAGUCUUGAGUACAGUUGAGGUAGGCGGAAUUCGUGGUGUAGCGGUGAAAUGCUUAGAUAUCACGAAGAACCCCGAUUGCGAAGGCAGCUUACUAAACUGUGACUGACAUUGAUGCUCGAAAGUGUGGGUAUCAAACAGGAUUAGAUACCCCUGUAGUC